Molecule: ribosomal RNA, 775 nt
Filed under: uncultured Neocallimastigales
Lineage: Eukaryota; Fungi; Neocallimastigomycota; Neocallimastigomycetes; Neocallimastigales
Description: partial large subunit ribosomal RNA
Rfam family: Eukaryotic large subunit ribosomal RNA
Source: RNAcentral
UCAGACGAUGCGUCAUGCAUAUCAAUAAGCGGAGGAAAAGAAACUAACAAGGAUUCCCCUAGUAACGGCGAGUGAAGCGGGAAGAGCUCAAAUUUGAAAUCUUAAAGGGUUUCCCUUUACGAAUUGUAGUUUAAAGAAGUGUUUUCUGUUGAGGUUUUGGUAAAAGUUCUUUGGAAUAGGACAUCAUAGAGGGUGAGAAUCCCGUAUUUGACCUUUACUUUCAACUUUGUGAUACACUUUCAAAGAGUCGGAUUGUUUGGGAAUGCAGUCCAAAAUGGGUGGUAAAUUUCAUCUAAAGCUAAAUAUUGGCGAGAGACCGAUAGCGAACAAGUACCGUGAGGGAAAGAUGAAAAGAACUUUGAAAAGAGAGUUAAACAGUACGUGAAAUUGUCAAAAGGGAAGCGUUUGACACCAGUGUUGUUUUUCUGAAAAUCAAUUAAAGAACUGUUUAUGCUAAGCUGUUUAGGACUUUAUCAGCUAAUCUGUUUAGUUUUGAGCUUUUCUUUAAUGCACUUUUCAGUUAACAAGUCAACAUCAAUUUCUUUUGCUGUAAAAAAGCUUGAGGGAGGUGGCUUGAGAUUCGUCUUAAGUGUUUAUAGCCUCUUGCCUAUGCAGUCGGAGAGAUUGAGGUCUGCAGCGUAGAUCCUUCGGGGCUAAAUGCAUUUGUGCUAAGUUAUAGCAUUUUAUAGACAACUUGUUGACUAUGAUUUGUCUUGUAGCUUACUCGCUUAUGUUAUUUUACCUACGCUUAGGAUGUUGACACACGCGCGUGCUC